UCCUACGGGGGGCAGCAGUGGGGAAUAUUGCACAAUGGGGGAAACCCUGAUGCAGCAACGCCGCGUGAGUGAAGAAGGUUUUCGGAUUGUAAACCUCUGUGGAGGGGGACGAUAAUGACGGUACCCCUUUAGGAAGCCACGGCUAACUACGUGCCAGCAGCCGCGGUAAUACGUAGGUGGCGAGCGUUGUCCGGAAUUACUGGGUGUAAAGGGAGUGUAGGCGGGAAAGCAAGGCAGAAGUGAAAACUAUGGGCUUAACCCAUAGCCUGCUUUUGAAACUGUUUUUCUUGAGUGAAGUAGAGGCA
Molecule: ribosomal RNA, 305 nt
Filed under: uncultured bacterium
Lineage: Bacteria
Description: bacterial SSU rRNA
Rfam family: Bacterial small subunit ribosomal RNA
Source: RNAcentral